UGGGUCCGCGUCUCAUUAGCUAGUUGGUGAGGUAAUGGCUCACCAAGGCAACGAUCAGUAGCAGGUUUGAGAGGAUGACCUGCCACACUGGGACUGGAACACGGCCCAGACUCCUACGGGAGGCAGCAGUGGGGAAUAUUGCGCAAUGGGCGAAAGCCUGACGCAGCGACGCCGCGUGGAGGAUGAAGGCCUUCGGGUCGUAAACUCCUGUCAAGAGGGAAGAACCGUAUGCGGAAUAAUACGCCGCAUGCCUGACGGUACCUCUAGAGGAAGCACCGGCUAACUCCGUGCCAGCAGCCGCGGUAAUACGGAGGGUGCAAGCGUUAAUCGGAAUCACUGGGCGUAAAGCGCGCGUAGGCGGCUUGGUAAGUCAGGUGUGAAAGCCCCCGGCCCAACCGGGGAAUUGCACUUGAUACUGCUAGGCUAGAGUUCAGGAGAGGGUGGCGGAAUUCCAGGUGUAGGA
RNAcentral lists this ribosomal RNA (463 nucleotides) under uncultured bacterium. Its description in RNAcentral is "bacterial SSU rRNA". It matches the Rfam family "Bacterial small subunit ribosomal RNA", at positions 226 to 680 of the family's 1533-position model. The record is from RNAcentral.